GGCCAUAGCUUAGUGGGUAGAACAUCUGUUUUGCAUACAGAAGGUCCUAAAUUCAAUCCUUAGCAUCUCCC
This 71-nucleotide transfer RNA is filed under the name Podarcis lilfordi (Lilford's wall lizard). RNAcentral describes it as "tRNA.Ala". The stretch from base 6 to 63 matches the Rfam family "tRNA", at positions 8 to 63 of the family's 71-position model. Rfam says of the family: Transfer RNA (tRNA) molecules are approximately 80 nucleotides in length. The record is from RNAcentral. Lineage: Eukaryota; Metazoa; Chordata; Lepidosauria; Squamata; Lacertidae.